AGCGAACGCUGGCGGCAGGCCUAACACAUGCAAGUCGAACGAACCUUUCGGGGUUAGUGGCGGACGGGUGAGUAACACGUGGGAACGUGCCUUUAGGUUCGGAAUAACUCAGGGAAACUUGUGCUAAUACCGAAUGUGCCCUUCGGGGGAAAGAUUUAUCGCCUUUAGAGCGGCCCGCGUCUGAUUAGCUAGUUGGUUGAGGUAAUGGCUCACCAAGGCGACGAUCAGUAGCUGGUCUGAGAGGAUGAUCAGCCACAUUGGGACUGAGACACGGCCCAAACUCCUACGGGAGGCAGCAGUGGGGAAUCUUGCGCAAUGGGCGAAAGCCUGACGCAGCCAUGCCGCGCGAAUGAUGAAGGUCUUAGGAUUGUAAAAUUCUUUCACCGGGGACGAUAAUGACGGUACCCGGAGAAGAAGCCCCGGCUAACUUCGUG
This 434-nucleotide ribosomal RNA is filed under the name uncultured bacterium. RNAcentral describes it as "partial 16S ribosomal RNA". It matches the Rfam family "Bacterial small subunit ribosomal RNA", at positions 29 to 507 of the family's 1533-position model. The record is from RNAcentral.